Molecule: ribosomal RNA, 1273 nt
Filed under: Phrontis pagoda
Lineage: Eukaryota; Metazoa; Mollusca; Gastropoda; Neogastropoda; Nassariidae
Description: Nassarius pagodus 16S ribosomal RNA
Rfam family: Bacterial large subunit ribosomal RNA
Source: RNAcentral
UAAAUCAGGUAUCUUAGUGAGUUUCUGGUAAAUUGUAAAGUAUUCAAAACAUUUUUAUAAUAAGUAAGAGUGAUAGAAAUUUAUUAAAUUAAAUCUAAGAAAAGUACCGUAAGGGAACAUACUAAAUUAAAAGCAAGAAAAAAUAGAUCUUUGUACCUUUCGCAUCAUGGUUUAGCUAGAUAUACAUUUUAACUUAAAAUUCUCGAAAUCUGAUGAGUUAUUUUUGUUCUGUGUUUUAGCAUAUAAAGAGUGGUUGUGGCAAAAACUUUCUUAGAAAUGAAAAUGGAAAUGAAAUUUUAUUCGUGUCAGGUGAUAGCUAGUUCUUCUGAAAAGGCAUAUAAGUGCUCUAAAUUAACUUAAUUUAUGAAAUAAAUGUUCGUAAAUAAAUUUAAUUUAAUGAAAUUUUUGAGGAUAAGCUCGAAAAUUAAUAUUAUAUUUGUAUCUGAUUUUCAUUAAAAUUUAGGCUUGAAAAUAGUCAUAAUUUUGAGUAUGUUAUAAUUUAUUGAUAAAUUAGAAAAAUAAUUAAUCUACUUAUAGUAAAUGAAGAAAACUUAAUAACUAAACUAAGUUAAAUUAAUGCUAAAAUGAGUAUUAUAUUAACUUAUUUCUUUCUAACAAAUAUACAAGUUGGAAUUUACAAGUAUUUUUACAAAAAAAAUCAUAGAAAGGAACUCGGCAAAUUUAUAUUCUGCCUGUUUAGCAAAAACAUGGCUCCUUGAAACUAAAUAAUAAGGAGUCGGACCUGCCCAGUGAAUUUUUUCAACGGCCGCGGUACUCUGACCGUGCAAAGGUAGCAUAAUCAUUUGCCUUAUAAUUGAAGGCUAGUAUGAAUGGUUUGACAAGAAUAUAGCUGUCUCUUUAUGAUUUAGUAGAACUUUAUUUACAGAUGAAGAAGUCUGUAUUAAAUUAAAAGACAAGAAGACCCUAUCGAGCUUGUAAAAAAUUUAAUAGAAUUUAAAUUAAUACAGUUAAAAAAUUAUUAUUAUACAUUUUGGUUGGGGCGACUGAGGAACAUAUAAAGCUUCCUUUAGAAAUUUAUUUGCAAUUCAAACUAGAGUUGAUCCAAAACAUUUUGAUUAAAGGAAUUAGUUACCGUAGGGAUAACAGCAUUAUCUUUUUUAAGAGCUCAUAUCGAAAAAAAGGUUUGUGACCUCGAUGUUGGACCAGAAUAUCCUAAAGAUGCAGCAGUCUUUAAGGGUUGGUCUGUUCGACCAUUAAAAUUCUACGUGAUCUGAGUUCAGACCGGCGUGAGCCAGGUCAGUUUCUAUCUUUA